GGGAGGUGGUUGUUUGGUUUUCGCCUGCGUGAUGAAUUAAUCACGCGUACUGUCUCUUUAGAAGAUCUUGCAACAGGGAAGGAGGAAGAAGUUCUUGGGGUACUUCAUCGAGGUGCGGUACAUGAGGUGAUACGAGUUCAGAUCUCAGAAGCUAAACCUGAAUGCACAUCCUGGUCAUUCCAGAACGUACAAAAUGCUAACUAGUAAAUAUUAGUAUUAUAUCUAUCAUUUUGUAAAUAUUUCACCUAAACUCCUUGUUAAGACGUGAAUAAUGAACUCUCUUACAAUCUAUCCUUUUAUAUUUAUGUUGUUGUGAAUAAUGAAAUCUCUCAG
RNAcentral lists this unclassified non-coding RNA (333 nucleotides) under Hevea brasiliensis (rubber tree). The record is from RNAcentral. Lineage: Eukaryota; Viridiplantae; Streptophyta; Magnoliopsida; Malpighiales; Euphorbiaceae.